This 253-nucleotide ribosomal RNA is filed under the name uncultured bacterium. RNAcentral's name for it is "partial 16S ribosomal RNA". It matches the Rfam family "Bacterial small subunit ribosomal RNA", at positions 524 to 776 of the family's 1533-position model. The record is from RNAcentral.
GACGAGGGGUCCAAGCGUUGUUCGGAAUCAUUGGGCGUAAAGCGGGUGUAGGCGGCUCUAUAAGUCAGGAGUGAAAUCCCCGAGCUUAACUUGGGAAGUGCUUUUGAUACUGCAGAGCUUGAAUGUGGGAGAGGUUAGUGGAAUUCCAAGUGUAGUGGUGAAAUACGUAGAUAUUUGGAGGAACACCGGUGGCGAAGGCGGCUAACUGGCCCAACAUUGACGCUGAGACCCGAAAGCAUGGGGAGCAAACAGG